CUCUCUCUCUCUCUCCCCCCCCACAUCUGUCUCCUCCCCCACCCCAUCUGUCCGUCUGUCUGUCGCUCUCUCUGCCUCUGUCCGGCAGACCCUUCGCAGACCUCCUCUACCCGGACGGGCCCAGCGCCCCCUCCCCCGGCCUGGGGCCCCCCCUGGAUGUGGAGAGACACCCCCCAGGGACGCUGGUCUGACCUCCCGGGGGGGACAGGGACAGCCAGGGGUUAACCUCACGGGGGGGGGACGACACUCCCCUGCUGGACAGGGGUGUGUGUGGGGCGUCAGGUGGAUGGGAUGGGGGGGAGAUGCGCAGUUUUCCCCCCCCCACUAGGGUGGUGUGGGGCACGGACUUCCCCCCCCCGUGGGCUGAGACACACCCGCAGCGACCUCAAUCUGCCCCGCCCCCAUUCUGAUAUGGGGGGGCAGGUCCUGGGUGGGGAAUCAGCUGCCUACUGAACCCCCAUUACCACCGGCACUAACCACCUCCUCCCCCCCCCAAAAAAACCCUCCCCCUUCUAAAAGUCUGGACAGACACCCCCCUGCCCUGCCCUAUCAGUUCCCUGACCCCCACCUGGCCAUUCCUCCCCCAGCACCACAUCCCCCUCCCCAAUCCUAGAGAGAUGCUCCCCGCCCCCCCAUCCAGUGAGCCCCUCACCCCCCCCCACCCCCCCCCUUCCGGCUCAUUUAGGAAACGAACUCAAACUCUCGACAUUCCAGCCCUGGCCGGCGUCCGGUGGAUUUUCCUUUCAAAGUUGCACACAAAACAAGAAAGUCACUUUUUUCUUUCCUUUUUUCCUACUGGAUUUUAUUUCGGGGGAACUGGGGUGGGGGGAUGGGGACUCGACCCCCCCAGGUCCCGUCCCCCCCCGCGUGCACACCCGCCUCCCCGAGCCAUGGGGUAGUAGCGACGGGCACCAGCAUGCGACCUGCUCUGGGCCUUGACUUUGUCCCGUUCCCAGCGCGUGGAUUGUAGCAGGAAUUUCUUUGGUGAAUGUUAAACUGGUCACUGUGCAGAACGGGGUUUGUAUAAUACAGAGCACAAAGGCGAGGCUGUGGCGUGGUGGCUUGGCUGGGGGCAGGCAGGGGGGCGCGCUGGCGGGAGCGGAGCCUGGGCUAUCGGGGAGGGGAGGGAGGGCAUUUCUGACCCUUACGGUUUGGGAGAAAUGUCCCAAAAUGUGUUGCCUGCCUGGGUGUGCGGAGAGCCCGAGCUGAUUGCUCGCAGAGGUGUGAACCGAUCCCUGCCUGGGUCUGCAGAGAGCCUGAGCCAAUCGCUUGCAGAGGUAUGAACUGUCCUUAGGCCAGGUCUACACUACAGCCCUAAAUUGGUACAACUGGGUGUUGCUCAGGGGUGUGAAAAAUUCACACCCCCCUGAGCAACAUCGUUACCCUGAUCUAACCUCCCAUGUAGACUGUGCUAGGUUGGCGGGAGAACGUCUCCCGUCGCCAUAGCUACCGCUGCUCGGGAAGAAGGAUUAACUAUGGGAGAGCGCUUGCGGCUUAGAGGGUCUUCACUGAGGUGCUACAGCAGCGUUUGGAGUGUAAAUCUGCCCUCAGUGUAACGGACGCUGCCUGAGUCGGCAGAAAGCCUGAACUGGUCGCUCGCAGAGGUGUGAACUGUUCUGAGUGGGACUGAUGCUGCAAGGGCGUCAGCCACUCGCUGCCUCCAAAUGGGGCAUUAAAUGCCCCCCUCCCAGCAGGGCAUACAGCGUGCGCCUGGCCCUGCCCCUCUCCCACCAAAACCAGCAAAUUACCAGGGGAUCCCACUGCUGCCACCAAUGGCUCUGGCAGUGCCCUGUUGGGAUUUUUUUUUUGCUGGUUUUCAUUUUAUUUUGGAGCAGGGAUGGCCUAGAUCUUCAGAAGGGACCACUCUGACCUUGUGUGUAUAACAGCAGCCUUUCUCCUCCUCCCCUGGCUCUAUACUGAACUCUGCUAAAAACCUCUGGGGGAAAUCAUGAGGCAAGGGGUUCCACACAUUAAUGUAAACACGUACUUCCUGGGUCAGUUACAUCUCACAUCAGAAGGGACCAUUGUGAUCCUCCAGUCUGACCCCCCCCCGUCUCACCCAGGCCAGAGAACGGACCCCCAAUAAUUCCUAGAGCAGAACUUUGAAUUCCAUUGGAUUCCUUCUAGUGGCUUUGGGAGACCCUACAUAAACCAAGUAAAAAAUGCCCCCCAGUUAGGGGGUAAAAGAAAACCUGGAUUCUUCCUGGGGAUUUAUUCAUUGUUCAUCCACAGCUUUUAUCCCCCCAAUAAACCACAAGAGGGGCAGGGGAAUGGAAAACCAAUGGGAUUAAAAAAAAAAGGGGGGGGGAGAGACGAGGUCUUUGUUUUUCCAGGUUUUGGGGGAUUUUGCA
Chrysemys picta bellii (western painted turtle) is the source of this 2351-nucleotide non-coding RNA. The record is from RefSeq and is a predicted model, not a curated record. Lineage: Eukaryota; Metazoa; Chordata; Testudines; Emydidae.